GCCUACCUGGCUCAGUUGGUACAGCAUGUGACUCCUGACCUUGAGGUUAUGGGUUUGAGCCCCAUGUUGGGUA
RNAcentral lists this transfer RNA (73 nucleotides) under Felis catus (domestic cat). It matches the Rfam family "tRNA". From Rfam's summary of the family: Transfer RNA (tRNA) molecules are approximately 80 nucleotides in length. Lineage: Eukaryota; Metazoa; Chordata; Mammalia; Carnivora; Felidae. RNAcentral also lists the same sequence under 4 other names. The record is from Rfam by way of RNAcentral.